CAGGGUGGAGCUAAGACAGUUAAGCAUUUCCCUUACACCGAAAAGACAUCCAUGCAAUUUGGGUCACCCUGA
RNAcentral lists this transfer RNA (72 nucleotides) under Normichthys operosus (multipore searsid). RNAcentral describes it as "tRNA-Val". It matches the Rfam family "tRNA". From Rfam's summary of the family: Transfer RNA (tRNA) molecules are approximately 80 nucleotides in length. Their secondary structure includes four short double-helical elements and three loops (D, anti-codon, and T loops). Lineage: Eukaryota; Metazoa; Chordata; Actinopteri; Alepocephaliformes; Platytroctidae. The record is from RNAcentral.